UACGUAGGUGGCAAGCGUUGUCCGGAAUUAUUGGGCGUAAAGCGCGCGCAGGCGGUUUCUUAAGUCUGAUGUGAAAUCCCACGGCUUAACCGUGGAAGGUCAUUGGAAACUGGGAGACUUGAGUGCAGAAGAGAAGAGCGGAAUUCCACGUGUAGCGGUGAAAUGCGUAGAGAUGUGGAGGAACACCAGUGGCGAAGGCGGCUCUUUGGUCUGUAACUGACGCUGAGGCGCGAAAGCGUGGGGAUCAAACAGG
RNAcentral lists this ribosomal RNA (253 nucleotides) under uncultured bacterium. Its description in RNAcentral is "partial 16S ribosomal RNA". It matches the Rfam family "Bacterial small subunit ribosomal RNA", at positions 524 to 776 of the family's 1533-position model. The record is from RNAcentral.